RNAcentral lists this ribosomal RNA (253 nucleotides) under uncultured bacterium. RNAcentral's name for it is "partial 16S ribosomal RNA". It matches the Rfam family "Bacterial small subunit ribosomal RNA", at positions 524 to 776 of the family's 1533-position model. The record is from RNAcentral.
UACGGAGGGUGCAAUCGUUGCUCGGAAUCAUUGGGCGUAAAGCGCGUGUAGGCGGCUCGCUAAGUCGAGUGUGAAAGCCCUGGGCUCAACCCAGGAAGUGCGCUCGAAACUGGCGGGCUAGAGUACGGGAGAGGGUAGCGGAAUUCCCGGUGUAGAGGUGAAAUUCGUAGAUAUCGGGAGGAACACCAGUGGCGAAGGCGGCUACCUGGACCGAUACUGACGCUGAGACGCGAAAGCGUGGGUAGCAAACAGG